AUUGAACGCUGGCGGAAUGCUUUACACAUGCAAGUCGAACGGCAGCACGGGAGCAAUCCUGGUGGCGAGUGGCGAACGGGUGAGUAAAGUAUCGGAACGUGCCCAGUCGUGGGGGAUAACGUAGCGAAAGUUACGCUAAUACCGCAUACGAUCUAUGGAUGAAAGCGGGGGAUCGCAAGACCUUGCGCGAUUGGAGCGGCCGAUAUCAGAUUAGGUAGUUGGUGGGGUAAAGGCUCACCAAGCCGACGAUCUGUAGCUGGUCUGAGAGGACGACCAGCCACACUGGGACUAAGACACGGCCCAGACUCCUACGGGAGGCAGCAGUGGGGAAUUUUGGACAAUGGGCGAAAGCCUGAUCCAGCCAUGCCGCGUGCAGGAUGAAGGCCUUCGGGUUGUAAACUGCUUUUGUACGGAACGAAAAGGUUUGGCCUAAUAAGCUGAGCUCAUGACGGUACCGUAAGAAUAAGCACCGGUUAACUACGUGCCAGCAGCCGCAGUAA
This 500-nucleotide ribosomal RNA is filed under the name uncultured bacterium. RNAcentral describes it as "partial 16S ribosomal RNA". It matches the Rfam family "Bacterial small subunit ribosomal RNA", at positions 30 to 523 of the family's 1533-position model. The record is from RNAcentral.